RNAcentral lists this ribosomal RNA (401 nucleotides) under uncultured bacterium. RNAcentral's name for it is "SSU rRNA". It matches the Rfam family "Eukaryotic small subunit ribosomal RNA", at positions 554 to 961 of the family's 1831-position model. RNAcentral also lists the same sequence under 1 other name. The record is from RNAcentral.
UGCAAGUCUGGUGCCAGCAGCCGCGGUAAUUCCAGCUCCAAUAGCGUAUAUUAAAGUUGUUGCAGUUAAAAAGCUCGUAGUUGAACCUUGGGUCUGGCUGGCCGGUCCGCCUCACCGCGAGUACUGGUCCGGCUGGACCUUUCCUUCUGGGGAACCUCAUGGCCUUCACUGGCUGUGCGGGGAACCAGGACUUUUACUGUGAAAAAAUUAGAGUGUUCAAAGCAGGCCUUUGCUCGAAUACAUUAGCAUGGAAUAAUAGAAUAGGACGUGCGGUUCUAUUUUGUUGGUUUCUAGGACCGCCGUAAUGAUUAAUAGGGAUAGUCGGGGGCGUCAGUAUUCAGCUGUCAGAGGUGAAAUUCUUGGAUUUGCUGAAGACUAACUACUGCGAAAGCAUUUGCCAA